UUAUGGGUGGCGAGUGGCGGACGGGUGAGGAAUACAUCGGAAUCUACCUUUUCGUGGGGGAUAACGUAGGGAAACUUACGCUAAUACCGCAUACGACCUUCGGGUGAAAGCAGGGGACCUUCGGGCCUUGCGCGGAUAGAUGAGCCGAUGUCGGAUUAGCUAGUUGGCGGGGUAAAGGCCCACCAAGGCGACGAUCCGUAGCUGGUCUGAGAGGAUGAUCAGCCACACUGGAACUGAGACACGGUCCAGACUCCUACGGGAGGCAGCAGUGGGGAAUAUUGGACAAUGGGCGCAAGCCUGAUCCAGCCAUACCGCGUGGGUGAAGAAGGCCUUCGGGUUGUAAAGCCCUUUUGUUGGGAAAGAAAAGCAAUCGAUUAAUACUCGGUUGU
This 389-nucleotide ribosomal RNA is filed under the name Stenotrophomonas sp. RNAcentral's name for it is "bacterial SSU rRNA". It matches the Rfam family "Bacterial small subunit ribosomal RNA", at positions 82 to 472 of the family's 1533-position model. The record is from RNAcentral. Lineage: Bacteria; Pseudomonadati; Pseudomonadota; Gammaproteobacteria; Lysobacterales; Lysobacteraceae.